This 345-nucleotide long non-coding RNA is filed under the name Parus major (Great Tit). Its description in RNAcentral is "lncRNA (ENSPMJG00000016032.1)". Lineage: Eukaryota; Metazoa; Chordata; Aves; Passeriformes; Paridae. The record is from RNAcentral.
GAUGAAAUAGUUAUGUUAGUUUAAAGGCACUUCAAAGUUUGUUUUGUUUUAUAUUUUCAGGGCACAAUGCCUAUGUUAUAUAGGUACCAAGCAGAAGUUGGAGAGGAAAAGGAAAGUACUUUCUGAAAAAGCAGCAAUGCUGGAAUGUGCUGUGGAGGCUCAGAUUGUUUUUCAGCUCUAGAGGCAUGUAUGUCCACAGCCUUCAGCCCUUCUGGUACCAUGUAGUUCUGCCAAGCCACAUUAGCUCAGCCUUACAUCUCGUGGCCCGUGCCUCCCCUGGGGGACAGAGCGACCUGUUCAGCUCCCAACACUGACAGAUGAAGAUUUCUAAUGGGAAAGAAUGAA